RNAcentral lists this ribosomal RNA (423 nucleotides) under uncultured bacterium. RNAcentral describes it as "bacterial SSU rRNA". It matches the Rfam family "Bacterial small subunit ribosomal RNA", at positions 355 to 775 of the family's 1533-position model. The record is from RNAcentral.
UAAGGAAUAUUGGUCAAUGGACGGAAGUCUGAACCAGCCAUGCCGCGUGGAGGAUGAAGGUCCUCUGGAUUGUAAACUUCUUUUAUUUGGGACGAAAUGAUCUUUUUCUAAAGGUUUUGACGGUACCAGAUGAAUAAGCACCGGCUAACUCCGUGCCAGCAGCCGCGGUAAUACGGAGGGUGCAAGCGUUAUCCGGAUUCACUGGGUUUAAAGGGUGCGUAGGCGGACACUUAAGUCCGUGGUGAAAUCUCCGGGCUUAACCCGGAAACUGCCAUGGAUACUAUUUGUCUUGAAUGCUGUGGAGGUUAGCGGAAUAUGUCAUGUAGCGGUGAAAUGCAUAGAUAUGACAUAGAACACCAAUUGCGAAGGCAGCUGGCUACACAGAAAUUGACGCUGAGGCACGAAAGCGUGGGGAUCAAACAG